CAAUACAACAGGGAUUGCCCCAGUCACGGCGAGUGAAAGCGGCAACAGCUCAAAUUUGAAAUCUGGCGCAAGCCCGAGUUGUAAUUUGCAGAGGAUGCUUUUGGUGCGGUGCCUUCUGAGUUCCCUGGAACGGGACGCCGGAGAGGGUGAGAGCCCCGUACAGUUGGACACCAAGCCUUUGUAAAGCUCCUUCGACGAGUCGAGUAGUUUGGGAAUGCUGCUCAAAAUGGGAGGUAAAUGCCUUCUAAAGCUAAAUACCGGCCAGAGACCGAUAGCGCACAAGUAGAGUGAUCGAAAGAUGAAAAGCACUUUGAAAAGAGGGUUAAAAAGUACGUGAAAUUGUUGAAAGGGAAGGGCUCGUGACCAGACUUGCGCCCGUCGGAUCAUCCGGCCUUCUGGCCGGUGCACUCCGGCGGGCUCAGGCCAGCAUCGGUUCUUCUGGGGGGACAAAAACGGCGGGAACGUAGCUCCUCCGGGAGUGUUAUAGCCCGCCGCAGAAUACCCCCGGGGGGACCGAGGACCGCGCUUCGGCAAGGAUGCUGGCGUAAUGGUCACCAGCCACCCGUCUUGAAACACGGACCAAGGAGUCAAGCAUUAGGGCGAGUGUUUGGGUGUCAAACCCGCACGCGAAAUGAAAGUGAACGCAGGUGAGAGCUUCGGCGCAUCAUCGACCGAUCCUGAUGUUUUCGGAUGGAUUUGAGUAAGAGCCUUACCGCUUGGACCCGAAAGAUGGUGAACUAUGCUUGGAUAGGGUGAAGCCAGAGGAAACUCUGGUGGAGGCUCGCAGCGGUUACUGACGUGCAAAUCGAUCGUCAAAUCUGAGCAUGGGGGCGAAAGAC
RNAcentral lists this ribosomal RNA (839 nucleotides) under Myrmecridium spartii. RNAcentral's name for it is "eukaryotic LSU rRNA". It matches the Rfam family "Eukaryotic large subunit ribosomal RNA", at positions 61 to 931 of the family's 3401-position model. The record is from RNAcentral. Lineage: Eukaryota; Fungi; Ascomycota; Sordariomycetes; Myrmecridiales; Myrmecridiaceae.